RNAcentral lists this long non-coding RNA (557 nucleotides) under Gallus gallus (chicken). RNAcentral describes it as "lncRNA (ENSGALG00010021906.1)". The record is from RNAcentral. Lineage: Eukaryota; Metazoa; Chordata; Aves; Galliformes; Phasianidae.
GAUCCCUCCUCUGGGAGUUUUUCUUCUACCAUUUUAAUGAUUAGAUGGUCCUGAUGUGGUGGAGAGUGUCUGUGCUGGUUCUGCUGUUGAGAAAUACAGAUACUGAUGUCACCACUGGGGAGAGAAUGGGGCAAGGACAAGUUCAGCAGUCACCAGAUAAGGAAGACCACUCUUUUUCCAUCAGUUUGAAGAGAUUUGGCAGAGUUUUAAGUAACACCAUAAUUUUCCUGAAGAUGGAUUUGCUUGUACAACUUGCCAGCUAGAGCUUGUGCUGUCCACAAAAGUUCCUCCCUUUUAGACACAUUUGCAACACUUCCCAGACCAGUUUGUUCAUUCACCUUACAGCUUGAAACCCUUGUUUCAGGGCAGGCUUGUUUCUUCUACUGUAUUUUUACUGCCCCUUGAGUGACAUCAUUCAAAUGGUGAGUCUCUGAGAGAUGAUUCAUACCGAAAAAGAUCUAAUAAUUGUUACCAGUUAUUCAAAUCAGUGUUACUGAUUUCCCGCAUCCUCCCACUGGUCCCUUGAGCUCCCCCACCCACUCGUUUUUCCUAAUAAU